ACGGGGUGCAGCAGGCGAGAAAACUUUGCAAUGUGCGAAAGCACGACAAGGUUAAUCCGAGUGGUUUGUGCUAAACGAACCUUUUGACAGUCCUAGAAACACUGUUGAAUAAGGGGUGGGCAAGUUCUGGUGUCAGCCGCCGCGGUAAAACCAGCACCUCAAGUGGUCAGGAUGAUUAUUGGGCCUAAAGCAUCCGUAGCCGGCUCUAUAAGUUUUCGGUUAAAUCUGUACGCUCAACGUACAGGCUGCCGGGGAAUACUGCAGAGCUAGGGAGUGGGAGAGGUAGACGGUACUCGGUAGGAAGGGGUAAAAUCCUUUGAUCUAUUGAUGACCACCUGUGGCGAAGGCGGUCUACCAGAACACGUCCGACGGUGAGGGAUGAAAGCUGGGGGGAGCAAACCGGAUUAGAUACCCGGGUAGUCCCAGCUGUAAACUAUGCAAACUCAGUGAUGCAUUGGCUUGUGGCCAAUGCAGUGCUGCAGGGAAGCCGUUAAGUUUGCCGCCUGGGAAGUACGUACGCAAGUAUGAAACUUAA
RNAcentral lists this ribosomal RNA (535 nucleotides) under uncultured archaeon. RNAcentral's name for it is "bacterial SSU rRNA". It matches the Rfam family "Archaeal small subunit ribosomal RNA", at positions 325 to 859 of the family's 1478-position model. The record is from RNAcentral.